Molecule: non-coding RNA, 47 nt
Filed under: Xyrichtys novacula (pearly razorfish)
Lineage: Eukaryota; Metazoa; Chordata; Actinopteri; Labriformes; Labridae
Rfam family: Histone 3' UTR stem-loop
About the family: The mRNAs of metazoan histone genes lack a poly-A tail.
Source: RNAcentral
CCAAAGGCUCUUUUAAGAGCCGCCAAAUUUUUUUAAAGUGCAAUUCU